This 79-nucleotide transfer RNA is filed under the name Candidatus Omnitrophota bacterium. RNAcentral's name for it is "tRNA-Pro". The record is from RNAcentral. Lineage: Bacteria; Pseudomonadati; Candidatus Omnitrophota. RNAcentral also lists the same sequence under 1 other name.
CGGACAGGCCGACAAAGUAUCAGUGGCGGCCGCUUGAAUGGGGUUCAAGAGGUCACAGGUUCAAGUCCUGUCGCCCCGA